This 562-nucleotide long non-coding RNA is filed under the name Dermacentor andersoni. RNAcentral's name for it is "uncharacterized LOC126519644". The record is from RNAcentral. Lineage: Eukaryota; Metazoa; Arthropoda; Arachnida; Ixodida; Ixodidae.
AGGUGCUUUGCACAGGUCGGAAGCUGCAGGCUCAUUCACGGAAUUGCAAACUCGUGGCUCGUCAUACACACCAGUAUCCACACCCCUUGCUGGAGCUACAAGGCCACACACGGAACCACAUGUGCUUGAUGUGUCAUUUUGAUGUCGCAUUGCUAUGUUUGUUAUGGUGCUGUAGUUCUUGAUAGUUAGUUCUUUUAAUGCAAUUAGGAUUCUUUGCCUACUUCAGGCGUUUUGAGCCUAUCUAUCUAACUAUCCUCUUACGUCUUUGUUUCAGGUGGUUUAUGCAGGCCUGCUUCGACACAUGCUGAAAAUGCCAGCUUCACAGAGUUGCAACGUCUUGAUUCAUCGUACAGGCCGGUAUCCACAUAUCCGACUGGAGCUACAAGGUCACACGCAGAUCCACAAGUGCUUGCCUUCAUGGAAAGGGUCUCACAGAUACUUAAUGGUAUUAAGCAGACCCAGCAGGCCCAUUCACAAUACCUUAAUGAGCUGCUCAGCAAUGCCAACAGUGCAUCUUCACAACCUUGUGACCUCCCUGAUUUGCCUUUUUCGGAUGCGACAG